Molecule: unclassified non-coding RNA, 232 nt
Filed under: plant metagenome
Description: partial contains small subunit ribosomal RNA, internal transcribed spacer 1, and 5.8S ribosomal RNA
Source: RNAcentral
UUUCCGUAGGUGAACCUGCGGAAGGAUCAUUAAUUAUAUAAGGCCACAUGUAAAGCUUUCCGAAAGGAUCGAGCUUGCUGUGUGAACCCUACCUACCCUUGCUUUUUGCGUACCCAUUGUUUCCUCGGCAGGCUUGCCUGCCAGUAGGACCCUCUUUAAUCCUUUGUACUUGCAGUCAGCGUCAGAAACAACGUAAUCGUUACAACUUUCAACAACGGAUCUCUUGGUUCUG